This 425-nucleotide ribosomal RNA is filed under the name uncultured rumen bacterium. RNAcentral's name for it is "bacterial SSU rRNA". It matches the Rfam family "Bacterial small subunit ribosomal RNA", at positions 354 to 776 of the family's 1533-position model. The record is from RNAcentral.
GUGGGGAAUAUUGGUCAAUGGGCGGAAGCCUGAACCAGCCAAGUAGCGUGCAGGACGACUGCCCUAUGGGUUGUAAACUGCUUUUAUAGGGGAAUAAAGUGAGGUAUGCAUACCUUUUUGUAUGUACCCUAUGAAUAAGGACCGGCUAAUUCCGUGCCAGCAGCCGCGGUAAUACGGAAGGUCCGGGCGUUAUCCGGAUUUAUUGGGUUUAAAGGGAGCGCAGGCGGGAUUUUAAGCGUGUUGUGAAAUGUAACGGCUCAACCGUUGAAUUGCAGCGCGAACUGGAGUCCUUGAGUGAGUACGACGUCAGCGGAAUUCGUGGUGUAGCGGUGAAAUGCUUAGAUAUCACGAAGAACUCCGAUUGCGAAGGCAGCUGACGAGUCCUUAACUGACGCUAAAGCUCGAAAGUGCGGGUAUCGAACAGG